CAGCAGCCACGGGAAUACAGAGGGUGCGAGCGUUAAUCGGAUUUACUGGGCGUAAAGCGUGCGCAGGCGGUUAUAUAAGACAGAUGUGAAAUCCCCGGGCUCAACCUGGGAACUGCAUUUGUGACUGUAUAGCUAGAGUACGGCAGAGGGGGAUGGAAUUCCGCGUGUAGCAGUGAAAUGCGUAGAUAUGCGGAGGAACACCGAUGGCGAAGGCAAUCCCCUGGGCCUGUACUGACGCUCAUGCACGAAAGCGUGGGGAGCAAACAGGAUUAGAUACCCCUGUAGUCCCUGUCUCUUAUAC
This 301-nucleotide ribosomal RNA is filed under the name uncultured bacterium. Its description in RNAcentral is "partial 16S ribosomal RNA". It matches the Rfam family "Bacterial small subunit ribosomal RNA", at positions 509 to 807 of the family's 1533-position model. The record is from RNAcentral.